Ictalurus punctatus (channel catfish) is the source of this 354-nucleotide long non-coding RNA. RefSeq lists it as uncharacterized. Lineage: Eukaryota; Metazoa; Chordata; Actinopteri; Siluriformes; Ictaluridae. The transcript is spliced from 3 exons. The record is from RefSeq and is a predicted model, not a curated record.
CUGUCUGUCUGUCUGUGUAGUCACUUCUUCCAUAAGGCAUGUGUUGAGCCAUGGCUUAUGGAUCACAGGACCUGCCCGGUGUAUGUGUGACAUCCUCAAAUCCCUCAGAGUAGAGCACUGAGUACUUUCACACACACUGUGACUCAGUCUCCAGCAUACACCCCAACUCCGAGUCUCUCACACAGCGAUGCUGCCUUUUCUGGAUAUGAAUCUCUGCAUGCAACAGAGCAGCUGGGUCCUGCUGACCACACACAUGAAGCGUGUAUGAAGCAGUGCUGCACGGAGCAGAUGACGGAAUGUCUGGACUGGAUUAUGGCUGAAUGUAAGAAUUUGUAUUCAAAAUUUCUGCAGAGU